UACGUAGGGACCAAGCGUUGUCCGGAAUCAUUGGGCGUAAAGCGCGCGUAGGUGGCUUCGUAAGUCCGUUGUGAAAGUCAAAGGCUCAACCUUUGAAAGCCGAUGGAUACUGCGGAGCUAGAGUACGGAAGAGGCGAGUGGAAUUCCUGGUGUAGCGGUGGAAUGCGCAGAUAUCAGGAGGAACACCAAUAGCGAAGGCAGCUCGCUGGGACGUUACUGACACUGAGGCGCGAAAGCGUGGGGAGCGAACAGG
RNAcentral lists this ribosomal RNA (253 nucleotides) under Solirubrobacterales bacterium. RNAcentral describes it as "partial 16S ribosomal RNA". It matches the Rfam family "Bacterial small subunit ribosomal RNA", at positions 524 to 776 of the family's 1533-position model. RNAcentral also lists the same sequence under 1 other name. Lineage: Bacteria; Bacillati; Actinomycetota; Thermoleophilia; Solirubrobacterales. The record is from RNAcentral.